Long non-coding RNA from Cyprinodon variegatus (sheepshead minnow), 257 nucleotides. RefSeq lists it as uncharacterized. The record is from RefSeq and is a predicted model, not a curated record. The transcript is spliced from 3 exons. NCBI's taxonomy places the organism in Eukaryota, Metazoa, Chordata, Actinopteri, Cyprinodontiformes, Cyprinodontidae.
GCAUCGUCAGCACUAGUUUGGAGUCAAAUCUGACAGCCGCUGCUUUGCCCGCUCCAUCCACCGGUUCUCCUUUAACUCCCCGGCGGCUGUCCCAGCUCCUUUAAAGAGCUCGCACAGUCGGGACUGUGGGAGCGCAUCGGACCGCUGUGAUCAACUUGGGGCGCAGAAAGAGCAGGGAAACUCCUCGGGAUUCUCCGUACAUCGAGCGCUGAUCUGGAUGUUGUGUUUGACGUACUCAAGAACUUCUUAAGGUAAGA